GCUUCUUUGCUGACGAGUGGCGGACGGGUGAGUAAUGUCUGGGAAACUGCCUGAUGGAGGGGGAUAACUACUGGAAACGGUAGCUAAUACCGCAUAACGUCGCAAGACCAAAGAGGGGGACCUUCGGGCCUCUUGCCAUCGGAUGUGCCCAGAUGGGAUUAGCUUGUUGGUGGGGUAACGGCUCACCUAGGCGACGAUCCCUAGCUGGUCUGAGAGGAUGACCAGCCACACUGGAACUGAGACACGGUCCAGACUCCUACGGGAGGCAGCAGUGGGGAAUAUUGCACAAUGGGCGCAAGCCUGAUGCAGCCAUGCCGCGUGUAUGAAGAAGGCCUUCGGGUUGUAAAGUACUUUCAGCGGGGAGGAAGGGAGUAAAGUUAAUACCUUUGCUCAUUGACGUUACCCGCAGAAGAAGCACCGGCUAACUCCGUGCCAGCAGCCGCGGUAAUACGGAGGGUGCAAGCGUUAAUCGGAAUUACUGGGCGUAAAGCGCACGCAGGCGGUUUGUUAAGUCAGAUGUGAAAUCCCCGGGCUCAACCUGGGAAC
Molecule: ribosomal RNA, 546 nt
Filed under: Escherichia coli
Lineage: Bacteria; Pseudomonadati; Pseudomonadota; Gammaproteobacteria; Enterobacterales; Enterobacteriaceae
Description: bacterial SSU rRNA
Rfam family: Bacterial small subunit ribosomal RNA
Source: RNAcentral